Molecule: long non-coding RNA, 2874 nt
Filed under: Oncorhynchus kisutch (coho salmon)
Lineage: Eukaryota; Metazoa; Chordata; Actinopteri; Salmoniformes; Salmonidae
Description: lncRNA (ENSOKIG00005017856.1)
Source: RNAcentral
AUGAUCGUUUUAUAUUUGUUUGUUCAAAUGUCAUCCGUGUACUGUUCGUUCAAUCAAUUUCUCGAAUUUAUACAACCAAAACGGAUAAUCAUUUCGACUGCAGUAAUUAAUUCGUUCACAAGAUUGAACAGAGAUGGUGUGGGCAUAGAGAGGAGGGGCUGCAACAUGAUUACGUCGCUAGUUGUUUUCAAAGUAAAGGCUGUGUUACUGAUAUUACCUGAACAUAUCCAGCUAGCUAUCUUUCGCAGGUUACAAAGAUCGUUCAAGACUAUCCAGCCCCAACUAACACGGCUUGACAUGCCGAGUUUUUACCAUGACCCUUUCUCUGCCAUCAGGUGAGUAUGAAUUAAUGAUCAACAAUUGUCUACUCUGUAUGGUAUAUGUAGGUGGUAAUUCCCUCCACCUAAUAAUGGCAGAGAUUUAAGGAAGUAAAAUGGAUUGUUCAAUCAUUCUCAAUGGUAGUUCGUGAGUAUAUCUGUAGAGCAGUAGGUGGGCAUACUGCAUAUGGCCACUACUACACCUGCACCAAUGCAUGAGAUUGAAGCUGGUUUGGUUGACGGUGACACUACACAUGUACAGGCAGGCACUGCCAUUCCUUGUCUUGCAUGGUAUGGCUUCGUAUAUACUAGAGCAGGUAUUCCCAAACAGGGGUACCCAAAUAAAAAAUUAACUUUUUAAUGAUUAUUAUUUUAUUUUUAAAAAACUUUUUUGCUUCACAUUUUCAAACAGUCAAUUUAUAUUUUCCAACAGGGCUAUACAUUUGGGUGAGGUUUUUUUCUCGCCUGAGUAGCUUUAGUUUCACUGCCCAUAAUAAAAUUAAACCAUCUUUUUUAAAUGUAUUUUUUAAUUUCACCUUUAUUUAACCAGAUAGACUAGUUGAGAACAAGUUCUCAUUUACAACUGGAACCUGGCCAAGAUAAAGCAAAGCAGUGCGACACAAACAACACAGAGUUACACAUGGAAUAAACAAGCGUACAGUCAAUAACACAAUAGAAAAAGUAUAUACAGUGUGUGCAAAUGGCGUGAGGAGGUAAGGCAAUAAAUAGGCCAUAGUAGUGAAGUAAUUACAAUUUAGCAAAUUAACACUGGAGUGAUAGAUGUGCAGAUGAUGUGCAAGUAGAAAUACUGGUGUGCAAAAGAGCAGAAAAGUAAAUAAAAACAGUAUGGGGACGAGGUAGGUAGAUUACUAUUUACAGAUGGCCUAUGUACAGCUGCAGCGAUCGGUUAGCUGCUCAGAUAGCUGAUGUUUAAAGUUAGUGAGGGAAAUAUAAGUCUCCAGCUUCAGCGAUUUUUGAAAUUCGUUCCAGUCAUUGGCAGCAGAGAACUGAAAGGAAAGGCAGCCAAAGGAGGUUUUGGCUUUGGGGAUGACCAGUGAGAUAUACCUGCUGGUGUUCAGUGAAAUAACCACACAAUGUCAAAUACAGGUAGCCUAGUCAAAUAAUUAACAUCCAAUCACAUUAACCAUUACUCUCUCGCAGGAAUUCCACUAACGGUUCAAAUGUAGCCAAACGCAGCUGCUGCUCAUGUUGGUAUCUGUACUAAUGGCGCAAAAGCCUUUACAGGGAGACGUAGUGGAGUGGUAACGCAUGUGCAAGCAGUUGCUCAUGACGCCACUUGGGUACAUUGCAUCAUCCACCAAGAGGCUCUUGCUGCCAAGGGAAUGUCUGACAGCUUGAAAAAUGUUUUGGAAACUACAGUGAAAAUGGUUCACUUUGCUAAAGCAGGGCCCCUGUCACAAUCGUCGCAUGGAGUAGACCAAAGCGCAGCGUGGUUAGAAUACAUUCUUCUUUAUUGCAGGAAGAACACAAAGAAAACUUCAACAAAACAAUAAGACGAACGUGACUGCUAAUGAAACAAUGUGCUAACGUGCAACAUAACAUAGACAAUAACCCACCAAAUACCCAAAGAGGAUGGCUGCCUAAAUAUGGUUCCCAAUCAGAGACAACGAUAAACACCUGCCUCUAAUUGAGAACCAAUCUAGGCAACCAUAGACCUACAUAAACACCUAGAUGGUAAACAACCCCAUAAACCUACAAAACCCCUAGACAGUACAAAAACCCUAGAUGAGACAAAACACACAUCACCCUCGUCACACCCUGACCUAACCAAAAUGUAUAAAGAAAACAAAGAAUACUCAGGUCAGGGCGUGACAGUACCCCCCCACAAAGGAGCGGACUCUGGCCGCAAAAACCUAAUCUAAAGGGGAGGGUCCGGGUGGGCCUCUUUCACGGCGGCGGCUCGGGUGCGGGACGUAGACCCAACUCUACCAUAGUCAUUGCCCUCUUCAAGGGCCUCUUCAGAGAGACGACCCUUGCCUCCGACCUAGGGUCUAGGACCCUAAUUAAAGGCCCCAUUGGACUGAGGGGCAGCUCCGGACUGAGGGGCAGCUUCGGACUGAGGGGCAGCUCUGGCAGCUCCUGGCUGGCUGACGGUUCUGGCGGCUCCUGGCUGGUUGACGGCUCUGGCGGCUCCUGGCUGGCUGGCGGCUCCUGGCUGGCUGACGGCUCUGGCGGCUCCUGGCUGGCUGACGGCUCUGGUGGCUCCUGGCUGGCUGACGGCUCCUGACUGGCUGACAGACUGGCGGCUCUUGCGGCUCAGGACAGACUGGCGGCUCUAGCGGCUCAGGACAGACGGGAGACUGGCGGCUCUAGCGGCUCAGGACAGACGGGAGACUGGCAGCUCAGGACAGACGGGAGACUCUGGCAGCUCAGGACAGACGGGAGACUCUGGCAGCUCAGGACAGACGGGAGACUCUGGCAGCUCAGGACAGACGGGAGACUCUGGCAGCUCAGGACAGACGGGAGACUCUGGCAGCUCAGGACAGACGGGAGACUCUGGCAGCUCAGGACAGAUGGGAGACUCUGGCAGCUCAGG